GCCUACGGGGGGCAGCAGUGAGGAAUAUUGGUCAAUGGGCGCGAGCCUGAACCAGCCAAGUCGCGUGAGGGAAGACGGUCCUAUGGAUUGUAAACCUCUUUUGUCGGGGAGCAAAAGACGCCACGUGUGGCGUUCAGAGAGUACCCGAAGAAAAAGCAUCGGCUAACUCCGUGCCAGCAGCCGCGGUAAUACGGAGGAUGCGAGCGUUAUCCGGAUUUAUUGGGUUUAAAGGGUGCGCAGGCGGAAGAUCAAGUCAGCGGUAAAAUUCAGAGGCUCAACCUAUUCGAGCCUUUGAAACUGGUUUU
Molecule: ribosomal RNA, 305 nt
Filed under: uncultured bacterium
Lineage: Bacteria
Description: bacterial SSU rRNA
Rfam family: Bacterial small subunit ribosomal RNA
Source: RNAcentral